This 465-nucleotide ribosomal RNA is filed under the name uncultured bacterium. Its description in RNAcentral is "partial 16S ribosomal RNA". It matches the Rfam family "Bacterial small subunit ribosomal RNA", at positions 28 to 507 of the family's 1533-position model. The record is from RNAcentral.
GACGAACGCUGGCGGCGUGCUUAACACAUGCAAGUCGUACGGUAAGGCCCUUUCGGGGUUACACGAGCGGCGAACGGACGAGUAACACAUGAGUAACCUGCCUACCACUUUGGGUUAACUCAAGGAAACUGGUUCUAACACAUGACAGGUGCUACUGCCGCAUGGUGGGGGUUGGAAAGAUCCGGCGGUUGUGUAUGGACUCGCGGGCUAUCAGGUUGCUGGUGGGGUGGGGGGCUUCCAAGGCGGCGACGGGUAGCCGGCCUGGGAGGGGGACCGGCCAAAAUGGGGAUGGAAUAAGGGCCAGGCCUCUACGGGAGGCAGCAGUGGGGAAUAUUGCAAAAAGGGGGGAAGCCCGAUGCAGCAACGCCGCGUGCGGGAAGACGGCCUUUGGGUUGUAAACCGCUUUCAGCAGGGACGAAGGUUUGUGUGACGGUAAUGGGAGAAGAAGCACCGGCUAACUACGUG